AGCCUCCUGACUCUCUUCUCAUGCACCAGGGUGCCUCAUGUUUCCAAUUUCUAUGAAUUCCUGGAAUUUGACCAGCAUCCUGUUCCCCCCAAAAAGCUGCCAUAUUCUUCAACCUGGAAGAUUCAGAGACCAAGACUCAAGGUUCUCAUUGGCCGCAAUAGAACCUGGGACAUGUGAACCCCCCAGAUGAGCAAGCCAGUUUUGCUGUCCUGUGACUCUCCACACACAGAGACUGAGGUGCUCAUUGUCUUCAGGGAGAGAGCAGAUCUUCCAAGAAUAAUGGAGUCAAAACCACGCAAUUAUUUUCUCAAUUUAGAGGGUUGACAAGAGACAUGAAAUCCCCCAACUUUCAAAUGUAAGGGCUGGAUAUUUAAAAGAGAAAGUUGUUUUCUCAGAAAUCUCAAAGAUGGGCUUUGAAAUACCAACUCACUGAGCAUAAAAAACUGAACUAUAGAAUUCUAAGUAUAAACAUAGAGUAGGGAGAUGUGGAAUAGGAAAAAUGUGUAGAGAUUUGAGGUAAGCCCAUUCUUACCUGGAGCAGUACGCUUAGAAAGGGAGAGAAGAGACAGAGUUGAGAUAAUUCUGACUUUGGUAGCUCUGGGACUAAAAACCUUCUGUGGGAGAAAACAAAACCCAGGUAGGUCAAGAAUGCAGAGGCUGGAGUACCAUUUCUCUUUAGAAAGUCUUGAAAGGGAUCACCUGAUAAGUAAAUUGAACCACCUGUGCCAGGGUAGAACUGUUUAAUCUGAAAGUAUCUUAAAUAGAUCCUUACUUUCCACUUCAGCACAAAAGUGAAAACAAUCCAAAUAUUCCACUAUAGUCCUGUCAGAGCAACAAGGAAGACAAUGGAGAAUGGAGAAUAUCAGUUUGUGUAAUAACUAGCUGUUUCCAUUUCUGGGAAAAUAUUUGACACUCACAUUUUAAAAGAGGAGAGACUUCUUUUGGUUCACAGUUUUAGAGAUUUCAAUCCAUGGCUGACCUGGCUCCAAGGACAAAUCAUCAUGGCAAAGGAUACGGUGGAGCAAAGCUGAUCGCCUCAUGGCAGCCAGAAGUGGAGAGCAAGAGGAAAGGCAGAGAUGAAGAAGCCAGGGACCAUAUAUAGUCCCCAAGGUCACAUUGUAUUACCUACUCCAUCCAACUAGCCCCACUUCCUCCACUAGCCCCCACUUCCUGCUCUAGGCCCCACUUCCUAACAGCCCAUUCAGCUGUGAUCUCAUCAGUGAGGUUAGUGCUCUUUCAAUCCAAACAUCUCCCCAGGAGUCUCUUAAUUCAGUCAAAUUGACAAUCAAGAUUAACUUGCACAGUGUGUAAAGAGUUCUCAUACCUUUAGCAUUUUGGAAAAAUGCUACGGUAUAGUGAAAUGUGACCCCGAGCCUAGGCUGUGAGGCAAACAACUCAAACCAGGAGGCAGAGGAGGAACAUAGAAGGAGCACAGAGUGUGAACCUCAGUCGACAGAUUUUAAGUCCAAAUUUCACUAGUGACUGAGCAGACUUGAAGUAGACAGAUCAAACAUUUUCUAGACUGAAUUGGUAGCAGAUGGGUAAGUUAGAUAAUUUAUCGGAAAUGAUUUAUAUUUUCCCAAUAGUGUAUACAUUGUACCUACAACAAAGAUGGACACACCAAGUGUGGGGACACUGAAGGAAGUAAAAAUCAUAUUACAUUGGGGAACAGAGGGAUCAGCCCACUAUCACACACUUUUACUCCCUUUAAAGUGAAAUUAUGGAAUUUUGACAAAUAGAAAUGAGGCAGAGACAUUUCAGA
This is a long non-coding RNA of Fukomys damarensis (Damara mole-rat), 1762 nucleotides long. RefSeq lists it as uncharacterized. The transcript is spliced from 3 exons. NCBI's taxonomy places the organism in Eukaryota, Metazoa, Chordata, Mammalia, Rodentia, Bathyergidae. The record is from RefSeq and is a predicted model, not a curated record.